This 508-nucleotide long non-coding RNA is filed under the name Scleropages formosus (Asian bonytongue). RNAcentral's name for it is "lncRNA (ENSSFOG00015025029.1)". The record is from RNAcentral. Lineage: Eukaryota; Metazoa; Chordata; Actinopteri; Osteoglossiformes; Osteoglossidae.
GUCAUAUCUUGUACGGUAAAUCGCGGUGUACGCAUAGCACUGCCAGAACUCCGUGUACUGCCAACAAUCUCGGUAAUGGAAGGAAAGGCUAAAUUAGUUCAAUUACAACGUGAAAUGACUGAGUCGAGCAUUUCGUCCGGGAGGUAAGGCAAAAGCACACAUAUGGGAUUUUAAGGAGCCUGCAUUAUGUUUUACGGUUGUAUACAAUUACGGGAAGGCGAGCAGUGUCACCGUGAGCCGCGUGCACGUUGAAGAAUGGAGACGUCAAUGAGGACGGGUCACUGAGAUAUCUAUGAGGCCAAGGCACAGGCCAUGGCACAGGCCAUCGCACCGACAGCUCCCGUCAGGAUACCGGAGACUACUAAACCAAGAGGGAUAAAAGAGAUUCUCAAAAGCGAAGUUGUUUCCGAAGCCAGAGCAGAAACUCGUCACAACACGGUGCAGUUUGCUGGACGUGUGACCGGCCUUCUGCUGGCCCCCAAUUCCUGGAGCGAAGCAAUAAAGCCCG